Cinara cedri is the source of this 180-nucleotide non-coding RNA. The record is from the annotation of a GenBank genome assembly. Lineage: Eukaryota; Metazoa; Arthropoda; Insecta; Hemiptera; Aphididae.
AAACUAAAGAUCCGACAAGGGUGCAGCCACAUUUAAAAAAAUGUUUUGAAGGAAUUGCUAAAUUAAAAUUUACCGAGAGUCUUGAUAUAGUUUGUAUGAGGUCUAGUGAAGAUGAAGUUGUAGAUUUAUCAAUGGCUGUAGAUACAAUGAAAGCUAGAGGUCAAGUAGAAAAAUGGCUUG